GCUAGGAGCCAUAUCACCCUGCAACUGGCUACUUACAGCUGGUAACCCACUGAAGCUAAGCAGGUGUGAGCUUGGUCAGUACCUGGAUGGGAGACCUCCUGGGAAAAACUAAGGUUGCUGCUGGAA
Molecule: ribosomal RNA, 126 nt
Filed under: Lepisosteus oculatus (spotted gar)
Lineage: Eukaryota; Metazoa; Chordata; Actinopteri; Semionotiformes; Lepisosteidae
Source: RNAcentral